Molecule: ribosomal RNA, 450 nt
Filed under: uncultured bacterium
Lineage: Bacteria
Description: bacterial SSU rRNA
Rfam family: Bacterial small subunit ribosomal RNA
Source: RNAcentral
GUGGGGAAUUUUGGACAAUGGGGGCAACCCUGAUCCAGCCAUGCCGCGUGAGUGAAGAAGGCCUUCGGGUUGUAAAGCUCUUUCGGUGGGGAAAAACGAGCUCGGGCCAAUACCCCGGGUGAGGGAUGGUACCUGCAGAAGAAGCACCGGCUAACUACGUGCCAGCAGCCGCGGUAAUACGUAGGGUGCGAGCGUUAAUCGGAAUUACUGGGCGUAAAGCGUGCGCAGGCGGCCAUUUAUGUCUGCUGUGAAAGCCCCGGGCUCAACCCGGGAACGGCGGUGGAAACUGGAUGGCUGGAGUGCGGCAGAGGGGGGUGGAAUUCCACGUGUAGCAGUGAAAUGCGUAGAGAUGUGGAGGAACACCGAUGGCGAAGGCAGCCCCCUGGGCCGACACUGACGCUCAGGCACGAAAGCGUGGGGAGCAAACAGGAUUAGAAACCCUGGUAGUCC